GUAUCAUGGCUCAGGACGAACGCUGGCGGCGUGCUUAACACAUGCAAGUCGAACGGAGCACCCUUGAAUGAGGUUUCGGCCAAAGGAAAGGAAUGCUUAGUGGCGGACUGGUGAGUAACGCGUGAGGAACCUGCCUUUCAGAGGGGGACAACAGCUGGAAACGGCUGCUAAUACCGCAUGACGCAUUCGGAUGGCAUCAUCUGAAUGCCAAAGAUUUAUCGCUGAAAGAUGG
RNAcentral lists this ribosomal RNA (232 nucleotides) under uncultured bacterium. Its description in RNAcentral is "partial 16S ribosomal RNA". It matches the Rfam family "Bacterial small subunit ribosomal RNA", at positions 14 to 228 of the family's 1533-position model. The record is from RNAcentral.